This is a long non-coding RNA of Leopardus geoffroyi (Geoffroy's cat), 529 nucleotides long. RefSeq lists it as uncharacterized. The record is from RefSeq and is a predicted model, not a curated record. NCBI's taxonomy places the organism in Eukaryota, Metazoa, Chordata, Mammalia, Carnivora, Felidae. The transcript has 3 exons.
CUACUCCAGCAUUCUGGUGGGCCUCUUUUCCUGGUGGAGAUGUCUAAGAGAGAGGUCAGUGGUACAAACUAUAAUCCUCACAACUGAAGACUCAGGCCUGCGAGUGGAGGAAGAUCUAAGAAGAACUUACCUUUGGAUGAACUGUUUUCAACUCUGGCCUCUUAAGAGACUGUGGUCUCCGCCUGCUCUAAUCCCAGUAAGGAGAACACCUGUCCCCCAGGUGUUGCUAACUGCUCAUUGUCUUUUCCACAGGACCAGGCUGCAGCCAGGGCCCAGGCCACAGAAACCAACUCUGGACAAGUAGCUGAGGUAGAGAAUAGGAAUCAAAGGAAUAACUGAGGAGACGAGGCCAACAGAAAGAUUGAAUGAGGAAAUCUGGGAGGAGCCUAACAAGAAGAACACGUGGAUUUCCUUUUCAGGUAUGCCCAUCAAAGUAAUUCUACUCCAACAGAUGUUUUUCUGCUACUUUGCCAAUUUUCAAAUUCCUUGGGUAAUAUCUCUGAUUGGCUCAGUUUAGAAGAGUUUUUAA